This is a long non-coding RNA of Scylla paramamosain (green mud crab), 2480 nucleotides long. RefSeq lists it as uncharacterized. NCBI's taxonomy places the organism in Eukaryota, Metazoa, Arthropoda, Malacostraca, Decapoda, Portunidae. The transcript is spliced from 3 exons. The record is from RefSeq and is a predicted model, not a curated record.
UCUGAACCCUCACAUCAGCUCAGCUUCCAUGAUUAAGUUAUAUUGAAGCAGAUGAUGAAGUUGACUUGAUUGUUCAAAAAACAUGGAUGUAACCAUCAUCCAAUACCAAUGAUAUUAAUAAUCUUUGUGGAGACCAGAAAAUAUCCUUUUAGAAGUACAGAUUUGAAGGUUUGGCCAUAAUGCUUAGAAAAUGAUAUGAAAGUACAGUGUUAUGUCAACCAGUUAUUUAGGUGCAGUUUUAACAAAGAAAAAUCAACAUGAGCAAAAAGAUGUUAAAGUGACAAAACCAACUUUUAUUUUUUAAUGCAGAACCAUAAUAAGGAAGGUGUUGAACUCUUCAUGCCUACCCAUAGCACCAACCUCCAUAGCAGAGAGGUGCAGGAAAUAAGUGACUCCUUCAGCAGCUCCCCAUCCCACUGGAGCUCCAUCCAGGCCUGCCAUUUCUUUCUCUGGUUAAGUCAACUCCUCUAUCUACUAGCUGUGAUGGAACACAAGUCAAAUAGACCUGGCAGCAGUAACAAGGUGCUGUAGUGACUGACAUCAGGCUUAUGGACAUGCACCAGCAUACUUCUAUUUAAAAAUGCACCUGCCACAAAUGCAAGAUUCAAGACUGUCUACCUGCUAUAUCAUUUAUAGUGUAAUUUUUUCUAGAUUUCUUUUUAAAAGGUGUAGUAUAGAUGAUAUAACAACAAAAUUUGAGCAUCAUAAUAUGAGUAGAUAUCAUGAUGUAUGGUAAUUUUUGUGUGCAUUGUUAUUCAAUUUCAUAUAGUUAUUUACAAAACUUGAAUUGAAAUCAGCCAAAAAAUUAAGAAUGAUUGUACAGAAGACCUUGCAUGGUUUUGUUGUAAAAUUGAAAAGCAGGUUUUAAGCUUAGGUAAAUCAUCCUUGGUCACCAAAUGACAGUUUACCAAGCCACAAGACAAUAUGCAGCUUGUCUUAGUUCCUUUAAUUUUUAAAUUCAUACUAUUUCCAUGUGUUAUUUGCUAUUUCUAGUAGCAGUUUACCUUCCACUACAAAAUUUUGAUAUGCAGUGUUCAGACAUUUCAAUUUUUGUCUCUGUGUGACUAAAUCCAUGCAAGUUUUAUCAUUUACUUUAUUGAUGUUUUGAAUACAAAGUCUGCAUGUUAGUCCCUUACUUGUCAAACCAUCUCCCAUCAAUAUUGCACACUUAUUUCACCAUGUUCCUUUCAGUAUAUUUCAGCUAUUUUCAUAUUGUCUAUAGUGGCACAAGUUGCACAAUCAUGAAGCAUUACACUUCUCACACAUGGAAUUGAUCAUGAAGCUUUGCACUUCUCACAUGUGGAAUUGAUCAGUCUACCUUCAUGAGUUGUGUUUCAUUGUUAGAUAUAGGAUUAAUUACCUCAACUUUUUGUUCAAUUCCCUGCAUUAGUCUUAUUAUGAUGGCAGGGAAUCUUCCAGUAUCAGUAUUUCUAACUUUGGCUUCUUUCAUUGAUUGACACAUUGCAUGCACUGAAAGUAACAAGAGCUGUACUACUCAAAGCUGUUCAUUACAGCACUAUGCACACUGCUUGCAAUAACAGUCAUCCCACACAAUACCAAUACUGCAUAUUGCACAUGGCCAAGCAUCCUUGUCUCUGGCACAGUGUUUAUCAUCAAUAUUUAGGGCUUAUGGAUUCCAUGUCACUUUCCACCCAGAUAAUACGAAGGUCAUAAAAUGACCUACCAUCUUUCUUUGAGUAUAGACUGACCCCUGAUUCACACACACACACACACACACACACACACACACACACACACACACACACACACACACACACACACACACACACACACACACACACACACACACACACACACACACACACACACACACACUAUAUCUGUUCUAUACCCACACACUCGGUCUGUCCUUUACUUAUAAUGUAAACUGGAAACUUCACAUCUUAUCUCUAACUAAAAACAGCUUCUUUGAAGUUAGGCAUUCUGAGACAUCUCUGCCAGUUCCCCCACCAUCCUCCAGGUGCUAAUUCUGUACAAGGGCCUUAUCCGUUCAUGUACGGAGUAUGCUGCACAUGUCUGGGGGGGUUCCACUCAUACCGCUCUUCUAGACAGGGUGGAAUCAAAAGCUUUUCGCCUCAUCAACUCCUCUCCUCUAACUGACUGUCUUCAGCCUCUCUCUCAAUGCCGCAAUGUUUAAUUUCUAACUAUCUUCUACCACUAUUUUCAUGCUAACUGCUCUUCUGAUCUUGCUAACUGCAUGCCUCCCCUCUUCCCACGUCCUCACUGCACAAGACUCUUCUUUCUCUCACCCCUAUUGUGUCCACCUCUCUAAUGCAAGAGUUAACCAGUAUUCUCAGUCAUUCAUCCCUUCCUCUGGUAAACUCUGGAACUCCCUACCUGCUUCUGUAUUUCCACCUUCUUAUGACUUGAAUUCCUUCAAAAGGGAGAUUUUUUGGCUAUCGCUUUGGACCCUUUUCUGGGACUGGCAUCUCAGUGGGCUUUUUUUUUUUUUUUUUUUA